This is a long non-coding RNA of Podarcis raffonei (Aeolian wall lizard), 432 nucleotides long. RefSeq lists it as uncharacterized. The transcript is spliced from 3 exons. The record is from RefSeq and is a predicted model, not a curated record. Lineage: Eukaryota; Metazoa; Chordata; Lepidosauria; Squamata; Lacertidae.
GAGGCAGUCUGGGAAAAUGGGAAAAACUGGGGGCAAAAUGUCCUGAAAGCGGGCGGAGACAAUGAGGCUGAAGGAAAUAAAUAUGCUGAGAACAGAACUGACUGUGAAAGAGGAACAUUUAAGAGAUUGGCCUGUUUGUCAUAUGUAGAAUGCAGAAAGGCAUCGCUGGCAGAUGAUGGCAUAUAUCACGUUAGAAGAUGAACAAAAGGUUAGAGGUGGUAAAACCUAAGUAGGCCUAAAGAGGUUACCACUGAAAUGAGGACAUCGGUCCUAUAUAUUAAAGCAUUUCUGUACAAAUUAAAAAGAGCACCGUCCACUGAGAGAAAAGUUCUUGUGUGCAAAGCCUAUCAAAAAGUAUGGGAACUCUGCAAGAGCACCAUAGUUAUUUUGCACAACUGCCACUUAUUUCAGUGGAGAUAGCACCCUAAAAAG